GAUGAACGCUGGCGGCGUGCUUAACACAUGCAAGUCGAACGGGAAUUAUUUUAUUGAAACUUCGGUCGAUUUAAUUUAAUUCUAGUGGCGGACGGGUGAGUAACGCGUGGGUAACCUGCCUUAUACAGGGGGAUAACAGUCAGAAAUGGCUGCUAAUACCGCAUAAGCGCACACAGCUGCAUGGCUCAGUGUGAAAAACUCCGGUGGUAUAAGAUGGACCCGCGUUGGAUUAGCUUGUUGGCAGGGUAACGGCCUACCAAGGCGACGAUCCAUAGCCGGCCUGAGAGGGUGAACGGCCACAUUGGGACUGAGACACGGCCCAGACUCCUACGGGAGGCAGCAGUGGGGAAUAUUGCACAAUGGGGGAAACCCUGAUGCAGCGACGCCGCGUGAAGGAAGAAGUAUCUCGGUAUGUAAACUUCUAUCAGCAGGGAAGAUAGUGACGGUACCUGACUAAGAAGCCCCGGCUAACUACGUG
This 478-nucleotide ribosomal RNA is filed under the name uncultured bacterium. RNAcentral's name for it is "partial 16S ribosomal RNA". It matches the Rfam family "Bacterial small subunit ribosomal RNA", at positions 28 to 507 of the family's 1533-position model. The record is from RNAcentral.